This 129-nucleotide small nuclear RNA is filed under the name Vulpes vulpes (red fox). Its description in RNAcentral is "U2 spliceosomal RNA (ENSVVUG00000019228.1)". It matches the Rfam family "U2 spliceosomal RNA", at positions 1 to 61 of the family's 192-position model. Rfam says of the family: U2 is a small nuclear RNA (snRNA) component of the spliceosome (involved in pre-mRNA splicing). Complementary binding between U2 snRNA (in an area lying towards the 5' end but 3' to hairpin I) and the branchpoint sequence (BPS) of the intron results the bulging out of an unpaired adenosine, on the BPS, which initiates a nucleophilic attack at the intronic 5' splice site, thus starting the first of two transesterification reactions that mediate splicing. The record is from RNAcentral. Lineage: Eukaryota; Metazoa; Chordata; Mammalia; Carnivora; Canidae.
AUCGCUUCUCGGCCUUUUGGCUAAGAUCAAGUGUAGUAUAUGUUCUUAUCAGUUAAAAAAGGCCUGUGGAGUGUAGAGGGAGGGGCUUGGUGUAAGUGGCUCAAGGCCUCCACUGUGCACUGUGUGCUC